RNAcentral lists this ribosomal RNA (259 nucleotides) under uncultured bacterium. Its description in RNAcentral is "partial 16S ribosomal RNA". It matches the Rfam family "Bacterial small subunit ribosomal RNA", at positions 334 to 590 of the family's 1533-position model. The record is from RNAcentral.
GGCCCUACGGGAGGCAGCAGUGAGGAAUAUUGGUCAAUGGCCGAGAGGCUGAACCAGCCAAGUCGCGUGAGGGAUGACGGCCCUACGGGUUGUAAACCUCUUUUGUCGGGGAGCAAGACCCGCCUCGUGCAGGCGGAGCGAGAGUACCCGAAGAAAAAGCAUCGGCUAACUCCGUGCCAGCAGCCGCGGUAAUACGUAGGUGGCAAGCGUUAUCCGGAUUUAUUGGGCGUAAAGCGAGCGCAGGCGGUUGCUUAGGUCU